CUCGCCUUUAAUCAGGAACACGACUUCUACGUGAUGAAUUCUAGGUUUCGUCUGGUUUUCCAAGGUCCGAAUCGUUCUACCAACAAUGGCGGCUCUAAGAUGGCGUGUGACUCGACGUUUUGAGAGAUCUCAAAUUCAAUGAAUCUUAUCCAUCUUCAAUCGGUGAUCCUCAACUAUAAAAAGGUUGUUUGUUGUUCAUCUACGGUGGAGGUGGCGCGACCGCGCCGAUUCUGGGAAGCAGGAAACGUGGUGGCGAGUUGAUGGGUUUAGACUCCUCCUCGACGCUAAGGUUGUUUCGUUCUUUGAACCAUAAUCAUAGUAAUUUUAAAACAAAUUCCGGCAUACAAACUCAAAAAAAUCUGCUAUUCUCACUAUAAAUAGUUGGUCCAGUCUUUCGGAUAUUGUUUCAGUUAUGUCUGUUGGUUUUUCAUCUUCCUAUUUACAUGUGUUUCAGGUGAUUAUAACACCAGCCACCGUGAAUGUCAACCGUCUGACCACUUUCAGAGAUCGCCUGAAGGCUGGAUCAAUUUUCUCUGCCACCGGAUUUGAUGUCACUCGGUGCAACAUAACUUCAGACUCCCAUGACUCUCCUCUAGCGAUUCGAUUCGUUGAUUCCACCGCUCUCGAUGAGUUAACCGAACUCAAGACCCCAAUUCCUGAAGAACGGCUCAGGUUCCGUGAUCACCGUGAGCUGCUUGGCCUAGCCAACACUAACACUCAUCUUCCAGGUAAAUCGUCUUACUAUCGGUUUCUCCUACUCAUUUCUCUAACCAGUGCACUGUUUAGAAAUUAUAUAAGAAGCUGCUGUAAACAUAUAGAGGGCUCAUGCCAAAGAAACUACCUCGCAUUUCCACGGAUUAUGAGCGACUAUAUUUUGAUUCAGCUGGCUGUGAUCAUUGAAAGGGAACAUAUGUUCAAACUUUGAUCCAACGAGUGUUGUUUUCAUUCAGUUGAUCAAAUAUAAGCUCUCAAUAAUGUUUUUAUUCUCGGGGUGUGAUGAUAACAGUAAGCAAACCAGAUUGAGGAGGUGGUGAAAUUGAUCAGCAAACCAGAUUGAGGAGUUAAAGACGCAAUCAUACCAAGCCAGUAUUAAAAGGUAACGUUCUGGUGAAAACAUUAAAAGAGCUUGGGAUUUUCUCUCUCGGAGAUGCAAUUGAUUGUUGCUGCACGCUACGCUUUGUAAAAGAAGACAUCUUUGUCAUGUGAUAACUAUCUUUGUCAAUUCGUUUUGUAAUUCUAUGCAUCGAUGGAUUGUUUCUUAACUUUUUAAUUCGCUUUUGUAUAAUUUUAUCAGACCAAGAUCUUGCUCA
Long non-coding RNA from Brassica napus (rape), 1310 nucleotides. RefSeq lists it as uncharacterized. The record is from RefSeq and is a predicted model, not a curated record. The transcript has 4 exons. Lineage: Eukaryota; Viridiplantae; Streptophyta; Magnoliopsida; Brassicales; Brassicaceae.